This 776-nucleotide ribosomal RNA is filed under the name Ruegeria sp. RNAcentral's name for it is "bacterial SSU rRNA". It matches the Rfam family "Bacterial small subunit ribosomal RNA", at positions 56 to 880 of the family's 1533-position model. The record is from RNAcentral. Lineage: Bacteria; Pseudomonadati; Pseudomonadota; Alphaproteobacteria; Rhodobacterales; Roseobacteraceae.
UGCAGUCGAGCGCGCCCUUCGGGGUGAGCGGCGGACGGGUUAGUAACGCGUGGGAAUAUACCCUUUUCUGCGGAAUAGCCUCUGGAAACGGAGAGUAAUACCGCAUACGCCCUUCGGGGGAAAGAUUUAUCGGGGAAGGAUUAGCCCGCGUUAGAUUAGGUAGUUGGUGGGGUAAUGGCCUACCAAGCCUACGAUCUAUAGCUGGUUUUAGAGGAUGAUCAGCAACACUGGGACUGAGACACGGCCCAGACUCCUACGGGAGGCAGCAGUGGGGAAUCUUGGACAAUGGGGGCAAGCCUGAUCCAGCCAUGCCGCGUGAGUGAUGAAGGCCUUAGGGUCGUAAAGCUCUUUCGCCUGUGAAGAUAAUGACGGUAGCAGGUAAAGAAACCCCGGCUAACUCCGUGCCAGCAGCCGCGGUAAUACGGAGGGGGUUAGCGUUGUUCGGAAUUACUGGGCGUAAAGCGCACGUAGGCGGACUGGAAAGUUGGGGGUGAAAUCCCAGGGCUCAACCCUGGAACUGCCUCCAAAACUAUCAGUCUAGAGUUCGAGAGAGGUGAGUGGAAUUCCGAGUGUAGAGGUGAAAUUCGUAGAUAUUCGGAGGAACACCAGUGGCGAAGGCGGCUCACUGGCUCGAUACUGACGCUGAGGUGCGAAAGUGUGGGGAGCAAACAGGAUUAGAUACCCUGGUAGUCCACACCGUAAACGAUGAAUGCCAGUCGUCGGGUAGCAUGCUAUUCGGUGACACACCUAACGGAUUAAGCAUUCCGCCUGGGGAG